GAUGAACGCUGGCGGCGUGCUUAACACAUGCAAGUCGAACGAUGAAGCCCAGCUUGCUGGGUGGAUUAGUGGCGAACGGGUGAGUAACACGUGAGUAACCUGCCCUUAACUCUGGGAUAAGCCUGGGAAACUGGGUCUAAUACCGGAUAGGAGCGUCCACCGCAUGGUGGGUGUUGGAAAGAUUUAUCGGUUUUGGAUGGACUCGCGGCCUAUCAGCUUGUUGGUGAGGUAAUGGCUCACCAAGGCGACGACGGGUAGCCGGCCUGAGAGGGUGACCGGCCACACUGGGACUGAGACACGGCCCAGACUCCUACGGGAGGCAGCAGUGGGGAAUAUUGCACAAUGGGCGAAAGCCUGAUGCAGCGACGCCGCGUGAGGGACGACGGCCUUCGGGUUGUAAACCUCUUUCAGUAGGGAAGAAGCGAAAGUGACGGUACCUGCAGAAGAAGCACCGGCUAACUACGUG
This 466-nucleotide ribosomal RNA is filed under the name uncultured bacterium. Its description in RNAcentral is "partial 16S ribosomal RNA". It matches the Rfam family "Bacterial small subunit ribosomal RNA", at positions 28 to 507 of the family's 1533-position model. The record is from RNAcentral.